RNAcentral lists this ribosomal RNA (547 nucleotides) under uncultured bacterium. RNAcentral describes it as "partial 16S ribosomal RNA". It matches the Rfam family "Bacterial small subunit ribosomal RNA", at positions 355 to 895 of the family's 1533-position model. The record is from RNAcentral.
UGGGGAAUUUUGGACAAUGGGCGAAAGCCUGAUCCAGCAAUGCCGCGUGUGUGAAGAAGGCCUUCGGGUUGUAAAGCACUUUUGUCCGGAAAGAAAUCCUUGGCUCUAAUACAGUCGGGGGAUGACGGUACCGGAAGAAUAAGCACCGGCUAACUACGUGCCAGCAGCCGCGGUAAUACGUAGGGUGCAAGCGUUAAUCGGAAUUACUGGGCGUAAAGCGUGCGCAGGCGGUUUGCUAAGACCGAUGUGAAAUCCCCGGGCUCAACCUGGGAACUGCAUUGGUGACUGGCAGGCUAGAGUAUGGCAGAGGGGGGUGGAAUUCCACGUGUAGCAGUGAAAUGCGUAGAGAUGUGGAGGAAUACCGAUGGCGAAGGCAGCCCCCUGGGCCAAUACUGACGCUCAUGCACGAAAGCGUGGGGAGCAAACAGGAUUAGAUACCCUGGUAGUCCACGCCCUAAACGAUGUCAACUAGUUGUUGGGGAUUCAUUUCCUUAGUAACGUAGCUAACGCGUGAAGUUGACCGCCUGGGGAGUACGGUCGCAAGAUU